Long non-coding RNA from Hyla sarda, 487 nucleotides. RefSeq lists it as uncharacterized. The record is from RefSeq and is a predicted model, not a curated record. NCBI's taxonomy places the organism in Eukaryota, Metazoa, Chordata, Amphibia, Anura, Hylidae. The transcript has 4 exons.
GUUAAAUAGUCCGCAAUGGAGAUUGCUCUGUGCCAGCUACUAGUGGUAGCUGUCAGCUGCUGAAAGCAGCUGUAGCCCCCAGAUACAUUGGAUGAAGAAAAAAAAAUAGCUUUUGGUGGAUAUUGCCUUUCAGUGCACGGCCUAGAAAAGAAAAAAAUCCACAAGAUUCGUGGCGCUCACUGAACCCUUCCAUCCGAGACUACUUGUAUUAUUCUGCCACCCACGACUCCUACCAAUGUCUGGACUACUUGCUCAUCCACUCCUCAUUGCUGCCUGCGGUAACUACUACAGAUGAAGUCGCUAUUUCAGCUAAUUAAGAGAACAAUUAAGACCAAGCCGAUCAGUCAGUCACAUAGACUCCAGCCAUUCUCUGUGUUCAAUGCUGAUGUGCUGGUUCCCAAAGGGCAAAGCCUUAUUCGCUUCUCCAUAAAAUGACAAGACGGAGCCACGAGAUAUCUGAAAAACCAUUAAAAUGUCAUCAAAACUG